GGAGUCUAGCAUGUGCGCGAGUCAUUGGGACUAGCGAAACCUAAAGGCGUAAUGAAAGUGAAGGCGCGCUCCGCGCGCCGAGGGAGGAUGGGCCCGGUCCAGGCCGGGCCCCGCACUCCCGGGGCGUUUCGUUCUCAUCGCGAGAAGAGGCGCACCCAGAGCGUACACGCUGGGACCCGAAAGAUGGUGAACUAUGCCUGGUCAGGACGAAGUCAGGGGAAACCCUGAUGGAGGUCCGUAGCGAUUCUGACGUGCAAAUCGAUCGUCGGAACUGGGUAUAGGGGCGAAAGACUAAUCGAACCAUCUAGUAGCUGGUUCCCUCCGAAGUUUCCCUCAGGAUAGCUGGUGCUCGUCUUUACGAGUCUCAUCCGGUAAAGCGAAUGAUUAGAGGCAUUGGGGUCGAAACGGCCUCAACCUAUUCUCAAACUUUAAAUGGGUGAGAACUCCGGCUUGCUUAGAUCGUGAAGCCGCGAGAUUCUCCUAGAGGAUCAGAGUGCCAAGUGGGCCAUUUUUGGUAAGCAGAACUGGCGCUGUGGGAUGAACCAAACGCAGAGUUAAAGCGCCUAAAUCGACGCUUAUGGGAUACCAUGAAAGGCGUUGGUAACUUAAGACAGCAGGACGGUGGCCAUGGAA
RNAcentral lists this ribosomal RNA (633 nucleotides) under Byrrhinus sp. UPOL RK0663. Its description in RNAcentral is "eukaryotic LSU rRNA". It matches the Rfam family "Eukaryotic large subunit ribosomal RNA", at positions 670 to 1259 of the family's 3401-position model. The record is from RNAcentral. Lineage: Eukaryota; Metazoa; Arthropoda; Insecta; Coleoptera; Limnichidae.